CGGCACAGCUGGGCACAAACCUGUGGAAGCAAAGCUGAAUCCAUACAGGUGGUUUUUGGCUAACAGCUGCUUUGUCACUGGGACAGCCAGGUAACCUUGUCUCAGUCAUGGGGGCAGUUUUUGGUGGAGGGAGGCUCUGCAAAUCCAUGGGUUAAUAACUCAAAGCAUCCUGGAAAGCUACUGUCCCCUUGGAAGGGCACCUACGGAAAACCAUGGAGAAUCAAGGAUGCUCAGAAGCUCAGCACUCUGCAAGAUGGGGAUUUUAAUGUGCCACUGCUCUGAACACACAGGAGGAGGAUGGAGUUACAAGGUGACAAUGUGGCUCCUGUCAGAGAUCUGAACUUUCUGGGAAAAGAGUCAAAUAAGCACGAUGUUGCCACGACAUCCCUGCUUGGGGAUUCAAGCAGCAAUUAGAACUUGGAGCUGAGAUGCCCCAAAUUUUUCAACAUUCCUGAUCGCUGCACAGGCAAAUAUUUUCACACAGAGUCCAAGAGAAAAAAAAAAAAAAAAAAGAAAUCCCUACAACCCAAAUCCCAUCGGAGGUACUGGCUUGGGGAGAGCUGAGUAAUGCCAGGGCUGGUGCUCGUGGCUUGGCCCCUGCCUCGGGAGCCUGGGCGGGGAUGGAGGAGCCUGGAGGAGCCUGGAGGAGCCUGGAGGAGCCUGGAGGAGGCUGGAGGAGCCUGGAGGAGCCUGGAGGAGCCGCUCCUGCCCAGCUGCUGCUCGCUGGCUGGCGGGGACCGAGCGCAGCCCAGCCCGGAGAGCUGCAGGGACGGCGGGCGAGCAGCGCAUUGCUGGCAUUCCUGUGUGCUCCAGCCUUGGGCCCUGGAGUGCCCAGACCCUGCUGCUUCCUCACAAACUCCUCUCCCGAGCACAGCUCUGCCCCUUGCACCAACACAGCCUGGCUGCGGGCCGGCGAGAGCCAGCGGGCUCCUGGGGACACUCCUGCACCCCACUCUGCCAGAACCGGGUGCUCCACAGCUAAAGCUGCCCCAGGACCCCAUCUCCCUUACCUUGGAGAGAAUGCAGAGGAGGGAGAGGAAGAGGAGCUGCUUCUCCAGCUGGAGCCUCAUGGUGCUCUCCCCUGUGCCACUUCAGCACAUCACCCCCCAGGCAGUUUGGAGGCAGUGGCUGUUCGCAGGUUUUAAAGCCCAGAGAAGGUCCUGCUGGUGUUUAUACUCUCCCUGCUCUGAUGUCACUCACAGGCUCCAAUAUAAACAUGAGUAGGUUUGGACAAGC
Molecule: long non-coding RNA, 1236 nt
Organism: Parus major (Great Tit)
Lineage: Eukaryota; Metazoa; Chordata; Aves; Passeriformes; Paridae
Exons: 2
Source: RefSeq, a predicted model, not a curated record